This 269-nucleotide long non-coding RNA is filed under the name Diabrotica virgifera virgifera (western corn rootworm). Its description in RNAcentral is "uncharacterized LOC126881403". The record is from RNAcentral. Lineage: Eukaryota; Metazoa; Arthropoda; Insecta; Coleoptera; Chrysomelidae.
UGUUUCUACUAGGCCAACAAUGGAUGGGUGAUACCUAUACCAUGAAAAAAUUUUUUUUGUGUUUGUGUAACGUGUAAUGUGGCCGUUUUUCUGUUUUUGCUGUUUGGGGUUGUACGGAGGAUAUCCAACCAAAAGUUAUUUUCACAAGAUGCAAAUGUUAACACCUCAAUUUUGUAGCGGUACUUUUUUAACAAUUGACCAUUAGCUCCGAUGAUGACAUUUAUGUCGAAAGCGCUCAGCUAAAGAAAUAAAUUAUUUACACACUUUGA